This 274-nucleotide ribosomal RNA is filed under the name uncultured bacterium. Its description in RNAcentral is "partial 16S ribosomal RNA". It matches the Rfam family "Bacterial small subunit ribosomal RNA", at positions 523 to 796 of the family's 1533-position model. The record is from RNAcentral.
AUACGGAGGGUGCAAGCGUUGUUCGGAAUCACUGGGCGUAAAGGGCGCGCAGGCGGUUUGGUAAGUCAGAUGUGAAAGCCCACGGCUCAACCGUGGAAGUGCAUUUGAAACUGUCAGACUUGAGUACUAGAGGGGAAAGUGGAAUUCCCGGUGUAGAGGUGAGAUUCGUAGAUAUCGGGAGGAAUACCGGUGGCGAAGGCGACUUUCUGGCUAGAUACUGACGCUGAGGCGCGAAAGCGUGGGGAGCAAACAGGAUUAGAAACCCUAGUAGUCC